GGCUGGUCUGAAGGUAGUGAGUUAUCUCACUUGAUUGUUGACAGUCAGUUACAGAUUGAACUCCUUGCUCUACUACUUUCCUUCCUUCUCACUACUGCACUUGACUAGUCUAAA
RNAcentral lists this Y RNA (114 nucleotides) under Microcebus murinus (gray mouse lemur). Its description in RNAcentral is "Y RNA (ENSMICG00000042315.1)". It matches the Rfam family "Y RNA". From Rfam's summary of the family: Y RNAs are components of the Ro ribonucleoprotein particle (Ro RNP), in association with Ro60 and La proteins. Lineage: Eukaryota; Metazoa; Chordata; Mammalia; Primates; Cheirogaleidae. The record is from Rfam by way of RNAcentral.